Molecule: ribosomal RNA, 665 nt
Filed under: uncultured Enterocarpus
Lineage: Eukaryota; Fungi; Ascomycota; Sordariomycetes; Microascales; Microascaceae
Description: eukaryotic LSU rRNA
Rfam family: Eukaryotic large subunit ribosomal RNA
Source: RNAcentral
GCGCAGGAAAAGAAACCAACAGGGAUUGCCCUAGUAACGGCGAGUGAAGCGGCAACAGCUCAAAUUUGAAAUCUGGUCCUUCGGGGCCCGAGUUGUAAUUUGCAGAGGAUGCUUUUGGCGCGGUGCCUUCCGAGUGCCCUGGAACGGGACGCCACAGAGGGUGAGAGCCCCGUAUGGUUGGACACCAAGCCUAUGUAAAGCUCCUUCGACGAGUCGAGUAGUUUGGGAAUGCUGCUCAAAAUGGGAGGUAAACCCCUUCUAAAGCUAAAUACUGGCCAGAGACCGAUAGCGCACAAGUAGAGUGAUCGAAAGAUGAAAAGCACUUUGAAAAGAGAGUUAAAAAGCACGUGAAAUUGUUGAAAGGGAAGCGUUUGCGACCAGACUUGCGCCCGUCGAAUCAACCGUCCCUCGUGGGCGGUGCACUUCGGCGGGCUCAGGCCAGCAUCAGUUUACUGUAGGGGGAGAAAGGCGCUGGGAAUGUGGCUCCUCGGAGUGUUAUAGCCCGGCGUGUAAUACCCCUCGGUGGACUGAGGACCGCGCGAAAGCAAGGAUGCUGGCGUAAUGGUCGUCAGCGACCCGUCUUGAAACACGCACCAAGGAGUCGUCCUAAUAUGCAAGUGUGUGGGUGGGGAGCCCCAUCUCGUAUUGAAAGUGAACGGAGCGUG